RNAcentral lists this ribosomal RNA (339 nucleotides) under uncultured eukaryote. RNAcentral's name for it is "LSU rRNA". It matches the Rfam family "Bacterial large subunit ribosomal RNA", at positions 2140 to 2478 of the family's 2925-position model. The record is from RNAcentral.
AGCUUAGGUGGGAGGCUAUGAACCUUUUCUUCUGGGAAGAGGGGAGCCAUCAGUGAGAUACCACUCUUGGUAAGCUAGAGCGCUCAGUCUUCACCGUCAUCCGGUAAGACGACAGUUUCAGGCGGGCAGUUUGACUGGGGCAGUCACCUCCCAAAAGGUAAUGGAGGUGUGCAAAGGUUCCCUCAGGCUGGACGGAAAUCAGCCAUAGAGUGUAAAAGCAAAAGGGAGCUUGACUGCGAGACUGACAUGUCAAGCAGAGACGAAAGUCGGCUUUAGUGAUCCGACGGUGCUGUGUGGAAAGGCCGUCGCUCAACGGAUAAAAGUUACUCUAGGGAUAAC